Molecule: long non-coding RNA, 344 nt
Organism: Myxocyprinus asiaticus (Chinese sucker)
Lineage: Eukaryota; Metazoa; Chordata; Actinopteri; Cypriniformes; Catostomidae
Exons: 3
Source: RefSeq, a predicted model, not a curated record
CUUCCUGUUGCUCCUCCACGUCUCUCUGGAGCUUCUUCCUGCUGUUCUCCAGUCUCUCGAUCUCCUCCUCGGCCUCGUCCAGCUGACGCUUCAAUGUUUUCAGACGCAGAGCGAGCUGAACACACACACGACAGUUGUUUUGAGGAUGGGUGAGAGCAUCACCUGAUCUCUCUGGUCCUGUAGAGACAUCUGCUCUUCCUCCAGAAGUCUCUCCUCCAGUUGUUGAAUGCGCAGCUGCAGUUUGGACAUGAGCGCGUCCUGUCCCGUCCGCUGCGACACACGGCUCCGCAAAUCUUUAUUCUACAGUAACAGUAACAAAUCAAUACAAGAAACACCAGUGAUGC